Molecule: ribosomal RNA, 1477 nt
Filed under: Synechococcus sp. A15-28
Lineage: Bacteria; Bacillati; Cyanobacteriota; Cyanophyceae; Synechococcales; Synechococcaceae
Description: bacterial SSU rRNA
Rfam family: Bacterial small subunit ribosomal RNA
Source: RNAcentral
AGAGUUUGAUCCUGGCUCAGGAUGAACGCUGGCGGCGUGCUUAACACAUGCAAGUCGAACGAACCUUCGGGUUAGUGGCGGACGGGUGAGUAACGCGUGAGAAUCUGCCCUCAGGAGGGGGAUAACGGUUGGAAACGACCGCUAAUACCCCAUAUGCCGCGAGGUGAAAUGAAUUUCGCCUGAGGAUGAGCUCGCGUCUGAUUAGCUAGUUGGUGGGGUAAAGGCCUACCAAGGCAUCGAUCAGUAGCUGGUCUGAGAGGAUGAUCAGCCACACUGGGACUGAGACACGGCCCAGACUCCUACGGGAGGCAGCAGUGGGGAAUUUUCCGCAAUGGGCGAAAGCCUGACGGAGCAACGCCGCGUGAGGGAUGAAGGCCUCUGGGCUGUAAACCUCUUUUAUCAAGGAAGAAGAUCUGACGGUACUUGAUGAAUAAGCCACGGCUAAUUCCGUGCCAGCAGCCGCGGUAAUACGGGAGUGGCAAGCGUUAUCCGGAAUUAUUGGGCGUAAAGCGUCCGCAGGCGGCCCUUCAAGUCUGCUGUUAAAAAGUGGAGCUUAACUCCAUCAUGGCAGUGGAAACUGUUGGGCUUGAGUGUGGUAGGGGCAGAGGGAAUUCCCGGUGUAGCGGUGAAAUGCGUAGAUAUCGGGAAGAACACCAGUGGCGAAGGCGCUCUGCUGGGCCAUCACUGACGCUCAUGGACGAAAGCCAGGGGAGCGAAAGGGAUUAGAUACCCCUGUAGUCCUGGCCGUAAACGAUGAACACUAGGUGUCGGGGGAAUCGACCCCCUCGGUGUCGUAGCCAACGCGUUAAGUGUUCCGCCUGGGGAGUACGCACGCAAGUGUGAAACUCAAAGGAAUUGACGGGGGCCCGCACAAGCGGUGGAGUAUGUGGUUUAAUUCGAUGCAACGCGAAGAACCUUACCAGGGUUUGACAUCCUGCGAAUCUCUUGGAAACGAGAGAGUGCCUUCGGGAACGCAGUGACAGGUGGUGCAUGGCUGUCGUCAGCUCGUGUCGUGAGAUGUUGGGUUAAGUCCCGCAACGAGCGCAACCCACGUCUUUAGUUGCCAGCAUUUAGUUGGGCACUCUAGAGAGACCGCCGGUGAUAAACCGGAGGAAGGUGUGGAUGACGUCAAGUCAUCAUGCCCCUUACAUCCUGGGCUACACACGUACUACAAUGCUACGGACAAAGGGCAGCAAGUUCGCGAGGACAAGCAAAUCCCAUAAACCGUGGCUCAGUUCAGAUCGUAGGCUGCAACUCGCCUACGUGAAGUAGGAAUCGCUAGUAAUCGCAGGUCAGCAUACUGCGGUGAAUACGUUCCCGGGCCUUGUACACACCGCCCGUCACACCAUGGAAGUUGGCCACGCCCGAAGCCGUUACUCCAACCCUCGGGAGGAGGAUGUCGAAGGUGGGGCUGAUGACUGGGGUGAAGUCGUAACAAGGUAUCCGUACCGGAAGGUGCGGAUGGAUCACCUCCUAA